CUACCAAUUCAUGGAUAUAUAGA
This 23-nucleotide small nuclear RNA is filed under the name Arabidopsis thaliana (thale cress). RNAcentral's name for it is "snRNA_08654". The record is from RNAcentral. Lineage: Eukaryota; Viridiplantae; Streptophyta; Magnoliopsida; Brassicales; Brassicaceae.